UGGUUUUGUCUGAAGUCAAACUUUCUUAAGUUUGACCAAAUUUAUAUAAAAAAUUAUCAAUUUUUAUAAUACCAAAUAAACAUACUAUGAAAAUAUAUUUCAUCAUAAAUCUAAUGAUACUUAUUUGGUUUCAUAAAAAAUAAUAAUCUUUUGUAUAAAUUUGGUCAAACUGAAGAAAGUUGACUUCAGACAAAACCAA
RNAcentral lists this microRNA precursor (199 nucleotides) under Dichanthelium oligosanthes. Its description in RNAcentral is "MIR1435 microRNA precursor family". It matches the Rfam family "MIR1435 microRNA precursor family". Lineage: Eukaryota; Viridiplantae; Streptophyta; Magnoliopsida; Poales; Poaceae. The record is from Rfam by way of RNAcentral.